This 87-nucleotide transfer RNA is filed under the name Felis catus (domestic cat). It matches the Rfam family "tRNA". Rfam says of the family: Transfer RNA (tRNA) molecules are approximately 80 nucleotides in length. Their secondary structure includes four short double-helical elements and three loops (D, anti-codon, and T loops). RNAcentral also lists the same sequence under 2 other names. The record is from Rfam by way of RNAcentral. Lineage: Eukaryota; Metazoa; Chordata; Mammalia; Carnivora; Felidae.
GCCUGGGUUGCUCAGUCGGUUGAGCAUCUGACUUUGGCUCUCAGGUCAUGAUCUCGUGGUUUGUGAGUUCGAGCCCCACAUCAGGCU